Molecule: long non-coding RNA, 11660 nt
Organism: Oryza brachyantha (malo sina)
Lineage: Eukaryota; Viridiplantae; Streptophyta; Magnoliopsida; Poales; Poaceae
Exons: 40
Source: RefSeq, a predicted model, not a curated record
CAGCCUCCCCAACCCUAUCGCCGUAGGCAGCUAGGCUAGGUUUCUUUCAAGGCGGUGGAGAUGCAAUUUUCGAGUAGCUUCCUUCCCAGUCCGCACUGCAACGGUAAAAAAAUUCCCCUCCUCUCCUCGUCUCGCCCUCCUCGACGAUUCGCCAUCAUUUCGCCCCGAGCCAUGCCGCCCGCCGGCCCCUUGGAAUCGAAGAUGUCGUACGCCUACCCCGCCGGCGCCGAGGUCGACCUCCUCCCCUGAUCUUCGCCAAGCGCCCGCCGUUCUCGUCGGUGUUGCCGGCCUCUCGACCUCCUCGCUCGGUACUUGGUACCUCUCACUGGAGCGCCGCCCGACUACCGGUGGUCGGCACCCGUAGACCGUCGUCAAGCCCCGCCCCACCCGACGAACUCCAUCUGGAGGCUGGCUUAUCUUGAUGAACUAAACCAGACAAGGGAGCUCCUCCGCCACUCGGUUCUCUACCUUCCUUUUGGAGAAAUGGGGUCGCACCUCGCCUAGGGUUUGUUUCAUGGAGGCGAGCCGAGGUGCAUCCGCCAUGGCCACGGCGUGGUGCAGGGUAUGGUGGCCACGGGGGAGGCUGCAGCCCAAGCCGCCCGCAAGGCUCGUACUGUUCGGAUGGCUCUUCGCCCGCACGAGCUCCGUUGACGUUGUGGUCGCGACGGCCCUCCUGCACGAGGAAAUAUUGCUGUCCUUCCCCACCCUAGAAGCACUCCAGUUGGAACUUAAAGCAAGCCAACUUCUCGAGCCCACUAAAUUGAGUGAACUCCGCAUGAGCAUAGCAAGAAGCCUUUCAGAGCUGGAGAUGUUUACUGAAGAAGGAGAGCGGUUGUCAACAGCCAGGAGAAAGAUGGCCAUCAAUGAGACGAUCCUUAUCUUGUCAACAGAAGUAUUCGGAGGCAGUGGCGCAGACAUGGUCUAAUUGCUUUAUGGGAGUUCUCUGAAGAGAAUAUUAAUCAAAGAAUUGAACAAGAUAUGAUGGCUCUAAAGCAGCAAGUAGAGGAUCCCAAUGAGAAAAACAUACAAAUAUUGAUUACACAGUGGAUCUGUUGAAUGCUGCAGACUAUCGGGAAAAUAAGACCCACACUGGUUGGUUAUACAGCAGAAUAUCUAUGCAUGUUAGAGCUGAGAGGCCCCCAUGGUAUCUUUCGUUGUUGGAGGAGCUCUAUAUGAAGCAUCAAGCAGGAGCUCAAGUGUUUUUACCGAUUAUGUUGGUUAUCUAAGUAAAGGUCAAAUACCACCAAAGAUGGAUAUGGUAGGACGUGGACUCGGUAGCUACACAUUUAGCAUGAAUGGGUCAGAGAUUGAAGCUGAGAUACACUCAUUGAGAUAUGGAGGACUCUUGAUGCAAUUGGAUGGAAACAUUCAUGUAUUUAUGCGGAGACAGAGCCUGCUGGUUGGAUUAACCUUUCAAUUAAUGUUGCAAUUAACAUGCCACUUUGCAACCAUGUCUGUCCCCACAUAUCUGGCGUUAACCAUCGCAACGCACCUACGCCACGCCCCUCACUCCGCCAUCGACACGCCGCGCCGCUGCCUCACCUCCCCCUUGGCCUCCGCUCCCUUGCCAUGCCGCCACCAAGCUUGCCUCUUCCUCAGCCCGCCGCCGCCGCUGCUCCCUCGCCCCCGCGCCCCUCAGCCCGCUGCCGAUGCAAUUGCCCUCCCUUGCCGGAAGCCACUCGGAUGGCCGGACCCCUCCGUGGCCCUCGCCUGCGGCCACCGCGCCCCUCCCUUGCCGGAUGCCGCCGUGGGCCUGCGGACGUCCAUCGCCCGGUGCUGCCCUCAAGAAGUUGUUUGUGCUACUUGACAUGUAUGAAAUAAUGUGUGAACUUCAAGAACAUAUUGACACCAUCUUUGUUGGAGAAUCAUGCUCUCAAAUGCGUGAGUCUGCAUUGAGUUUGACAAAAUGCUUAGCACAACCUGCGCAGAAGACUUUCAGUGAUUUUGAAGAAGCUGUCGAACAGGACGCAACAAAAAAUAUUCAUAUUGAUGGGACAGUGCAUCCUUUGACGAGCUACGUGAUUAACUAUGUUAAAUUUUAUUUGAGUAAGUAUACAUUCAUAUCAUAUGCACUUAACCUUUCAUGUAAUUAGAUAGGUGCCUGGCUAUGUUAUCAUGUGUUUCUUCUUCAAACCUAUCCACCAAAACCACAAAACACAAAACACUCAUUUGUAGCUGAACUUCUUUUGUACCAUUCUUGCAAACAUUGUCUUGACAUGAUAUCUGAUUUUUUUUUUACCUAUUUAAUACCUGUUCAAAAUGUUUUGUUUUGCCAAGCUGCAAUUAACCUCUGUGCAGCUAUCAGUCAACUCUAAUCUAAAACAGCUCUUCGAGGAGUUCAAAAGGGAAGAUGGAACAGGUUCAGAGCUGGUCACUGUAACCAUGAGUAUCAUGCAGGCUUUACAGAACAAUCUGGAUGCAAAAGCAAAAUAAUACAAGCAUCCUGCUUCGAUGCACAUAUUUUUUAUGUACAUUCAUUAUAUCGUGAAAUCUGUCCGCAGAUCAGAAGCCAAAGAUUUAUUGGGGGGUGACUGGAUUCAAAGGCAUCGAAGAAUUGUGCAGCAAAAUGCAAAUCAAUAUAGAAGGAUUGCUUGGUCAAAGGUCUUGCAAUGCUUCUCUGGUCAAGGUCUCUCAUCGAGAACAGUAAAGCACCUGGAAAAUACGUGAAGCACACUCCUGAGCAAGUUGAGAGGGCUGUAGGGAUGCAUAUGGUGAAUGUAAAAUGGGAAAUUUGGCUGAUGUUCGCGUUGACCAGCUUUGGAAGGAAUGGAGACCAGUCGAAGAUCAGUGGCUGUAACAGAAUGAGGAACUAACCGCUUUUCUCUCUGUCCAUGAGGAGAAAGCUUGGAUUUAGUUGGAGCCUGCAACAAGCAAAUUAACUAAUAACAGACUGCAUUGUGAAACCCUGCACGAAUAUAAACUAGGGUACAAGGCCAUUCAAGAUGGGACUAAUUCCACUACUUUCAAGGUAAACAUCUUUGUAAUAAUUGCUUAUAUGGGUGCUAAGAUAACGUUGGAGGAUAAUUAUAUGGAACACAUAAAACGGGAAUUUUUUUUAUUUGAGAUUUCCUUGGAGCUAGAGAGUGCAUUUUUACUCCAAGGUGAUUAUAGCAUUGCUAUAACUUUUCCCAUUCUAUUGAUAUAUUAAUUCCAUUACCCAAUUGAGUUUUAUGAUUCAGUUAUUCAUUUUCCCACCUCUCUUCAAGUAUGCCAACUAUGCUCUUCGUGGUUUAUGUCAAAUCAAAAUUAUAGUUCUGUAACUAAUAGGCAAGGGCUGCUUGGAGAAAGUCUGAAGAUGUUUAACUAUCUUUACUAUUUUGCUCUCACAUGUUUGUUAUACGUUUGAAUGGAUAUGCAUAACCAUCUAUUGUUUUUAUUGAAAGAAUGUUAUCAACCAUAAGAAAAUGACUAAGAAAGCAUAUCUAACUUUCUCAUCCAGAUUUGAAAUAUCAUGUGCUGACCUAGGUCAUGUCACCUGCCUGCUUAUCAACAUAUUAAGCAUGCCAUUAUAAUGUACUCUUUCACAGAAAUGUUCUGUGUGUUACCUGCUUUGUACCACCACAAAAAAAAAUUAUGAUAAUCCCAACAUUUGCAUGAUAUUCAAGAACUGGAAUAAUGCUACUCUUGUUUUUUGUAUUAUGGGCUAUAAUUUUUUAGGCAACUUGGUAAAGGAAGAGGUAUCGGUAUAAACCAGGGCUAAGGUGGGAAAGGAAAUGGAGAGCAGAAUCCUACCCAUGAUAUCUACCGGGAUGGACACUACUUUGAUUUCUUUAGAAUGGUUUUGUGCUACUCUGUUGUCGUGGUUCUCUAUUUCAGUACUAUAUGUUUGCUUUGCUUUGACCUCUCCUGAUUAAAUGCCUUUAUGCACCCUUUUGAUUUCUUUCUCUAUACUAUAAAAAGGAACAAUGAUUCUGCCAAGAUUUUGGUACGUCGUAGGCCCCUUAUGUCAGCCACCUUUGCCGUAAACUCUCCUUGUGUGGCGCCUCGCCUUCACGUGCGCCCCAUACCUCAACCGAGAGUACACGAUGAUGUGGAAGUAGUAGCGGUGCUGGAUGCGGUGAUUGAUGGCGGCGAUUGGCUACACGCACGCCUCCAUGUUGAUGCUGCCCCCCUUGGCCGGCCAUGGUGGCCCGCGAGAGCUGCCCCUCCGCUUCUCUGGCAAGCUCGGCGGGCAGGGGUUUCUGUCUCUCUUGGCCGGGCUGGCUAUGGUUGCUCCCCGCAAGAGUGGCCCCUCCGCUUAAUUCUCCAGCGAGCUUGGUGGCGGGGAAUAGGGCGAUGUGGGAUGGAGUUGCUGCCUUCCUUGCUGGAUGUGGAGGCUCCAUGGCGUCCCGCUCUAUCAAGCAAAUACACUCAGCCUAUCAUAAACUGAAAAAAAAGAAGAGCAGAGCCCUCAUUUGAUUUGCUAUCAGCGUGAAAGAUAUUAAACAUUAUCUAACUUCACUAUUUGCGGUACUGGUUUGCAGGUUACAGGCGGUGGUCAGGUCUGAUAGAUAUCUGCAUGUUACAAACAUCAUCCAGCAGCAGCAUGUUUCUAUGUGAUUUUGGCUUAUGUGACAUCAAAGAUUCAUUCUCUUGUCAACAGAGAACCUCACAAAUACAUACCUUAUGUGCAAGUAUGGCCAUACCUGAUAUUCAAUCUUAGGGGUUUGCCAAAUGCCAAACACAUUCUUUGUGGGGACAAGCAAUUCUAGGUAGCUCACUGGUUCCUCCACGUAACAGUAACAACAAACACACGUUCAUAUCCCAACAAUCCUAAGCUGAUGGUUUUACCAGCAAUUUCGUUUCAGUUCUGGUGACUUCACUUGCUAGACUUUUGGUUCUUCAUACCACAUCUAAAUUUGAAUCACCGCACAUGCUUACGGCCCUUCUGUCCCAAAAGGAAUCUGGAAGUGUUGGGCUCCCCUCCGGUGCAAGUUUUUCAUUCGGUUGGCUAUUAUGUGUUUCGAAAGGGUAUUUUACGAGUUAUAAUUAUUUACUGCUGCCAAAUAUUGUUCAGUAUUUUAUAUAUGUUUUUAGCUCUGCGUUACCUUAUUUGAACUUUUAACCAGCUGUUCCAAGCAACAUGGAGAGAAAAGCUCGAUUAAGCUCUGGAUCUAACUAUCAACAUCCUUCAUUUAAUUAUUUGCUCGCAUUUACAGCUAACCCAUACUAAAAUAUGCUUUCUGGAACUCUCAGCCAUACAAUUGUCAAUUCAUCUGUGGUUAUAUUUAUCUUCCAUCCAUUUUCUUUAUGUAUAUAAUAUUUCUUGCUCUGUUAUUUAGAUCAAGAAACUCUUAGUGGUGGAUCAGCUUGCAAGUGGUAUCUCAAUGAAGAUAUACCAGAAAUAACAAUCACAGUGAUGCAGCAAAAAUUCAGUGGAUACCAGCAGAUGUCGAAUCUUUUGGUUCAUCACGGCACUCAGCAUAGCUCGAACAGAAAACAGUUGCGGAGCUUGAAAAGAUUGAUCCAUGGGAGGUUCAGGUGAUUAUACACAAAUAUCAUAGUGUACAUGAUGAUGCGAUAAUCUCGUCCAAAAAAAGAAAUGAUGAUAUUUUAAUGGUCAUUGGUCAUACUGUUAUGAGCCUUGUGAAGUUUGAAGGACGAUCAGAGAACCUUGCACGAGAGAUUGCUGCUGUUAUGUCCCAAAAGUUUACGUUUUCUGUUUCUGUUACUUAGAAAAGCUUCAUGCAAAGGAAUAUAUCAUUCCAAGUAAAUGCUUUCGAAACCUUCUUUGGUAGGCAAGGUUCUAUUCCACAGGUAUACACUGGCUGGUUCCUCUACCACACCUGCACCUCCUGUAGAUGAGACACCAAAUGAUGGCAAGAAGCGUCGCUCUAUUACACGCCAUCCUCUCAGAGCAUCAAAGAGUAUAACUUUUGAACAUGGCACUUCUAAAGAAAUGAACACACGCCCAUCUUCGACUUCCAGCGAUGAUAUGGUCAAUUUUCGUGCCACUGUGAAUGAACCGACAUCUAUGUCGUCUGAUCAGGUUAAUGUCUGUAACGAUUUCUGCUAUUCUUACAAGUUUGGACACUCAGGAUAACACAGUCAGUUUGCAUGAUCUAGAGAAAAAGAGCCACAACCAAACGCGGCCUUUCCGACGUUGCCGCUCCUCCACCACACCGCGCGCUUCUGGGAUCUCCACCGCCGCCGUCCCUCCAGCGUCGCCCUCACCGAUGCUGCUGCCCCUCCACCACGCCUCCCGCUCCUCGGAUGUCCACUACUGCUACCCCUCCACCACGCCUCCCGCGACCGACGCCGCCCCUGCACCGUGCCACGACCGAUUUUCUGCGGUUAAACAAUUUCUCGUUCUUAUAUCUUCACCGCCGCUUCAAAAUGCCAAGAAUGACACCAGAAUCAGAGAUGGCACCCUCUACUUUUAAGGAACCAUCAUGGUGUCAUCAGGACAUCAGCACAUGAUGAAAUUGAUUAGAGAAGGAAUAGAUGGUUACUGGAGAACCAUUAAUUCAAAGGAAAGAUGACUCAGCUGCAGUAUUGAAGUCAAGGGUGGAAGCCUUCCACAUACAAAGAAGGCCAAGCAAGAUACUUCUCUUCAGGAUUUACAGAUGAAAGGUUUGGGGACAAUCUUGGUUCCCCUGAUGUUUGAGUGACUGGACGUUAUGACACCUCAAAACCAAAUAUGCGUCACAUAUAUAUGGAAUGGUGGGAGACACAGGAGAGAGGAGACCAGGUCGCUUCAGUGCUUGAUAUCGGAGAAGUUGGUCCCUGAGCAACUUGUUGUUGUCAGCCUGUUAAUUACAUGUUCAAUUACAAGGAGGCAUGGAUGAUGGCGGAGCUGCAUCUGUUAGAGCAAUUAUGCAUUGGCAAUAUCGAACCAUUUGCAGAGGUCCUAUUCAAUACUUCAGAAUCUGUAUGAUGUGGUUGGUUCCAAAGCCCAUGACUAUAUUUCCUCCCUGUUUGCUGCGUGUGCGGUAUGAUGAGAUCUUGGGGCCAGGGGCCGUCAAAACAGUGUAUCCUUCCAUCCAUCUCAUGCUCUUGCUUCCAGCUCGUUUCUUGAUUGAUUGAUUAUCACAAUUUCUUACUUAUUUAUUAAUUCGUGCAAUAUACUCUAUAGAAUUCGAUUUGUUAAUCAGCGGCUCAUGAUCUGAGGCAAUUGAACCAUACCAAAACAUCUUUUCAUGAAUUACAUGUUAUGGUAAGCUCUCCGUUUGCCAUGUAGAAUCUACCUGAUACAUCCAGGAAAGCCUUCGACCAACAGUUUUCAUGUUCCUCUAAUGUGUGUUUGGUGUCUUGGCCUAAAUAUUGAUCAGGAUUAACUUAUUAACCUCCAUAGAUUGAUUGCAGGCAUGUUAAUCAAUAAAUAUUUUGGUUUAGCUAGACAUAUUUAUUUCUGCUAUCAUGUGACAGUUUGCAGCUAGUGGGGCAAAUCCUUUUGUUCUUAGCGAAAAUGCUUUGGAUUUUCUUUAGUUUCAGAUUCUAGCCCUGAAUAUCUGAAGCUGAUGGGGAAAUUUGGGAAACCAAGCCCGGAUUGAUGACUCUGUUAUGGGGUCCUCUAAGAAGAUGGAGCAACUAAACCGACAGACUCGACUAUUGAAGACACUCAGGCACAAAAACAUACAGAAAAUGUUCGCUUCAUUGGUUGGUGAGGAGAAGAAGAAUGUGAACAUCAUCACAGAGUUGUUUACAUCUGGUAGCUUGACACAGUACAGUACGAAGCACAAGAAAGUGAACAUCAGGGCUAUGAAACGAUGGGCAAAAAACAUUCACAAAAUGUUUGCUUCAUGGGUUGAUGUGAACAUCAUCACAGAGUUGUUUACAUCUGGUGCCAUACGAACCACAAGAAAGUGAACAUCAAGGCUAUGAAACGAUGGGCAAUACCGAUAUUAACAGGGCUAGAACAUCUGCACAGUCAGAAGCCAACAAUUAUACACAGGGAUUUCUAGUGUGACAACAUAUUCAUGAAUGGAAAUCAUUGAAAAGUGAAGAUUGGUAAUUUUGGCUUGGAGACAUACAUGCAGCAACACAAAAAAAAGUAUUAAAGGGUAAGAAUUCAGAUGCUUUCCACAAAAUUAAAGAUGCAGAAGUAAGAUCUUUCAUAGAGAGUUGUUUAGCUCCAGUAGAGAAAAAAGAAUGUCUGCAACAGAGCUGCCGAAUGGCUCUUUCCUCCAGAAAGAAUGACGUCCCUAUCUCAAUAUCUCUGGUCAAGAAUAUGUCUGAAGAUGGACAUGAAUCUAUCAGUUUCAUGCUUUGGAAGGGCCAGUUUCUGCUCAAAGGAAAUGUUGGUGUACCCAGCCAUGUUGAUUUAUGGCUAAGAUUUCCUGAUCCCAGCGGUUUUUUCAAGAGUGUUGAGUUUCCAUUUGAUGUGACUGAAGAUACCAGUCUUUGUGUCGCUGUGGAAAUGGUUGAGCAAUUUGGACUGACAGAAGAGAGUUGACUUAUUGUCGCGCAGUUGAUUGAUGCAUUCUUGGUCAUCCUGAUUCCUGAAUGGGCACCGUGUGUCACCAUUGGUCAGGUGGCAUAGAAUUCGAAUGCACAUAGAGCACCUGCGCUUAGGCCAGCUUGGUUAAAAGCCUCGAGGGACCUAAGCCAGACUUCUUUCCUGGCCUCCAGCUGGUCGGCCCACAGCUGCUUCCUCGUGUGCUCGGCUGCUUGCGUCGGGUGAUGGGACCUGGCCCUGGGAGGGAGUCCUGGCUGAGGGGAGCCAAGAGGGGACCCGACCCUUGGCUCCCAGCCCAGGCGAAGGAGCCAGCCUUGGGCGGAGCUUGGGUGGCCCCGGGCCCCGGACGGAGGACCUGACAUGGGAUGAUCCCGAUCCCCGGAGGAAGGACUUGACCUUGGGUAGCCCUGGGCCCUGGGUGGAUAACCUGACACCGGGCGGCUCUAUGUAGCUUCGUGUGGGAGGAGUGUGGUAGCUUCUGUCCCUUCUACUAUAUCAUACUACUGCAGCGCACAAUAGCAUGCCCCAAUCUCUAGCUGUCUGUUAUAGAUGGCUUGAGCCACAAUGCACCGCUUGAUCACCCUCUUUGCGACCAACAACCAUACAUUACGGGCUAACUCAGUGGAAUAAUUUUAUACUUUUAGUUAUUGAAGGCUAUUGCACAUGCAACUGAAAAGCUUCUUGGAUCCCCUUGCUGCACAUAUGCUCAUUUCAUUUUGAACAAAAAAGCAUGGCACCUAUAUGAUUCUUUGCCCUUUUGAGCAUGUCUCUCUUGUUAAUUUGACUGUUACCCUAAAGUAGAGGGGAGCAAAUCCAUGAUUGAGACAGUAAGACGUUGACCCCGUAGCUACACAUUUAGAAUUAAUGGGUCAGAGAUUGAAGCUGAUAUACACUCAUUGAGAGAUGGAGGAACUCUCGAUGCAACUUUGGAAGGAAUGAAGACCAGUCGAAGAUCAGUGGCAGUAACAGCAUGAGGAACUAACCGUUUUUCUCUGUCUGUGAGGAUGUCCGGUGAUACUAGCCCAUGAAAUUUAUUGUAUUAAUUAUUGUUUAUAGCAAAUCCAGUAGGAUGCUGGCAGCACUCAUGCACUGCCAAUUACUUACGGAACAUUAUGUAAUUCUUGGAUUUAAUUGGAGCUUGCAACGAGUAAAUAAAACUGAUAACAGACUGCAUUGUGAAAUCCUGCACGAAUAUAAACUAGGGAAAUUGAGAAGGUUACCACAGAUUCUAUAGGCAGCAUGCAAGAGCCAUCUGCAAAACAGGCUAGGCCAUUCAAGAUGGGACAAAUUCCGCUACCUUCAAGGCUCUUCCAUUUAACAAGAGGUUGGUCAUGUCAGUAAGGCUUCAAAGAGUAUCCACUUGGAAUGAAGAUAUUCCUGUAGGUUUGUUUCAUCUAAAAUUAAUCUUCUGAUGAAUGAUGUGAUAAUGAUCAAAUUCUUAUGGUCUUGGGCAGUAACUAUAUAUGCUCUUGGUUCCAUGCAAAUGCACUGCAUGUUAAUUUAAUCCCAACAUUUGUAGGAUAUUUAGGAACUGGAAUAAUUGUCUUGUUUUUUUGUAUUACGGGCUAUAAUUUUGGAGGCAAAUUGGUAAAGCAAGAGGUGUCGGGAUAAACCAGGGCUAAGGGGGGAAGGAAAUGGAGAGCAGAAUCCUACCCAUGAUAUCUACCGGCAUGGAUGCUGCUUAGAUUUCUUUAGAAUGGUUUUGUGCUACUUUGUUAUCCUGGUGCUCUAUUUCAGUACUAUAUGUUUGCUUUGAAUUGACCUCUCCUGACUAAAUGCCUUUAUGCACCCUUUCCAGUGUUCUCCACAUCAUGUUUCCUUUUAAAAGUAGAAAUAUAUAUACCACAUGGCAUGCUGGUAUUUCCUUUUAAUUAUAUAACAUAAAAUAUUCCAGCAUAGAAAUGUCCAUGCUACUCAAAGGUGGAAAUUUUGUUGUUAUAUCAACCUGUGCAAUUCUUUGAUGUUAUAUAUCUUUGUAUCUCACCAGCUAUACUUGAGAAGAAAUAGCCCAUUAUUCUUGCACAUGCACUUUCAUAUUAUAUGAGAUCCAUUUUUGUUAGCCAAUUGUUAAUAUCUACUGCACCACCUAUCCUGGUUUUCUUUGCCCCUUCCAUUUAGGCACUGUAGCACAUAUUCUGAAAGUAAACAAUAAUGUAAGACAUCACUUUCUUCACUGCAUUCAUAUGCUCCUGGAGCCUACUCUGUCCAAGGUAGUGAGAUUCAAAAGAUAUAAUUUAUUGCCAUCUAACUUAUACACAAAAACUAUUGGAGUUUUAAGGCGAUGUGACGUUUCUGAGUUAUUUAAACACUUGACAGCCCCAAAUAAAUGCUAAUACAACAACAUGAACUCCUAAUCAGUCCAGUCUAUUAGGGAUUAUGGUAAAAAGUGGACACUAGAUGAAUGAUGUACAUUCAUGUAUGAAACAUGUAUGACUAAUUAUUUAUCAUCUAGUUUGAUUGGGUUGAGUCUUGAGAUUGCUAGAAGUUGUACUGCAUUGUUCCUCUCUGCAUAUAAUUUGUAUAACAGUAGAAUUAAUUUGCAAUUUUAAAAACAACAGACUUUAAUACAAUGUUUUGACAAAGUUAAUUUGUCCUUUUUUUCCCCAAAUGUAACAUUGUUCCUUUCAGUCCAUUAACCAAUACAUUUACGUUUGUGCCACUACAAUGUGCUCCGUAGGCUUUAGCAUAAGGUAAUAUUUUACUUGCCAAUUGAUUGACUAUCAUCAUUGUCGUUAUGAGGUGCAUGUGUUAUUCUCUUCAAAUAUUGUUUUUCAUUCUCACAAUGAAUCAUGAUCGGGUUCAUCUAUAUUUAGUAUUCUUUUAUUUUCUUUUUCUUUUUGUAUGGUAUGCCUAAUUGUAAUCUUCUUUCAGCAUAACGGAAUAAUGGUGGGUAUUAUAGUGUCAUUUUUGUAGCAUUCAUAUUUUUAGUUGACUAGCAUUGUUUGGAAAGUGAGAUUUUUCAAACAGUUUCAUCCCUACAUAUAACUUUGUGCGGUAAAUAUAUAUUUUUAGAGAUGAAAUAAUAUAUUAGUAAUAUGUAGUAGGGGUAAAAAAUCAACACGGGUAGUGGGGUGGUGGAUUCACUAUCACCACCAUUGCCUUUUUUUUAUGGAGUAUAGAUAACUCACCUUUUAUUAUUUGCAAAUUGAUCUACACUUGGUAAUUCAAAUUGUGUAGGUUCACAAUUGUCGGAUCCCAUGAUGCUUAUAGCUAUUUCAAUGUCUCUAUGUUCUUUUAAUAGAUCUCAUUCUAUUUUGAUGUGUACUUUUUCUUAUUUCCUAUU